GUAACUUCUUCUGCAUGGUGCCCCACACUGCAGAGUUCAGAGUGAGCAGUCCCCAAUACAGCCCUGAACGCAGAAAAUCAGAUGCCUGCAGACCUUGAUGCUCAAACCAAAGGAUGCUGCUCUUGUACCUAUUUUUGUGUUUUCUCACAAGAGGACUUCAGACUAAAGGAUCUAGAGGUACUUUUGGAUUGCUGUGAAGGCAGCUCUCAGAGGGAAGCCAUGGACAAUCUGCUCAGGAUGAAGAGAAAACCCUGGAAGUGGAAACUUCUGGGGAAGCUUCUGAAGAAGCAUCCUUCCCUGGACUCCAGCUUCUGCUGGACAACUGCAGAACUGCAAACAACUGUUUGGGAACAGCAAACAUCUCUGAUGGUAAAGGUAUGAGUAAACUAAACUUCCAUUGGUGGCUUUACUGGAUGGUAGUGACUGUCUUUAAAUUAAAACCAAAUAUCUAAAAAUUCUCCUAAGCUGGAGAUGUCUUAAGUUAAAUUCAGUGUAUUAUUUGAAAUUCCUUGUGAUGAGGGAAAUGGGGGAAAAAUUUAUUUGGGCCGUGCUUUGUUUGAUUCAGGUAGCAUUUCUGCUGGUGUUGGUCACUGACUGGUGGUCUCCUGUGUGGAGCAGAGUGUGCUGAUGGGAAU
RNAcentral lists this long non-coding RNA (635 nucleotides) under Parus major (Great Tit). RNAcentral describes it as "lncRNA (ENSPMJG00000002850.1)". Lineage: Eukaryota; Metazoa; Chordata; Aves; Passeriformes; Paridae. The record is from RNAcentral.